RNAcentral lists this ribosomal RNA (94 nucleotides) under Agromyces cerinus subsp. cerinus. Lineage: Bacteria; Bacillati; Actinomycetota; Actinomycetes; Micrococcales; Microbacteriaceae. The record is from RNAcentral. RNAcentral also lists the same sequence under 5 other names.
AACGCCCGGACACAUUCCGAACCCGGAAGCUAAGACUCGCAGCGCCGAUGGUACUGCAGGGGGGACCCUGUGGGAGAGUAGGACACCGCCGGAC